AAAAAUCGAAUACAAUGUAAUUAUUCGUCCUCGAGUAUCAGUCAAACAGCCCUUACCAAAAAAUGUUGUAUUAAAUUGCAAUGAAUUAUGGCUCUUACAAAACUGGAACCUAAGACGUAGUAAAUAUAAAAAAGAAGAUGUGGUAUGAUUGCCAAUGAGAUAACUAUCCACAAAAGACCAAAAUGAAACAGACAUUAAAAACUAAAGGUCACUGUACGGCCAUCAACAAUGAGCAAAGCCCACACAACAUAGUAAGCUAUAUAAGGCCCCGAUAAGACAAUGUAAAACAAUUCAAACGAGAAAACUAACAGCCUUAUUUAGGUAAAAAAAAUGAAAGAAAAACCAAUAUGCAAGACAUAAACAAACGACAACCACUGAAUUACAGGCUCCUGACUUGGGACUGACCGGCAUAGUGGGAGGGUUGAGAUCUCACAAACAUGUUUAACCCCGCCGCAUUUUUGCGCCUGUCCCAAGUCAGGA
This 480-nucleotide long non-coding RNA is filed under the name Mytilus galloprovincialis (Mediterranean mussel). Lineage: Eukaryota; Metazoa; Mollusca; Bivalvia; Mytilida; Mytilidae. The record is from RNAcentral.